RNAcentral lists this long non-coding RNA (266 nucleotides) under Brassica napus (rape). RNAcentral describes it as "long non-coding RNA (BNAP_LNC002792)". Lineage: Eukaryota; Viridiplantae; Streptophyta; Magnoliopsida; Brassicales; Brassicaceae. The record is from RNAcentral.
CCCCCCCCCUUAAAGACCGCGAUAAUCCUGCUCUAAAGGUUUUCCCAAGCUAGGUGGUGUGUAAGAAGAAGAGAUGGUCGCAAGAAGAGACCAAGAGCCUUCUCUUUCACACUACUUGCUUUUGUGUACUCGUAAACGACUUUGAUUUGCAAGUUGGUAACAGUUCAUUUUCCUGGUCCAAUGAACAUGAACAAGAAGACAAUACCAAAGGAUAUUGUAAUAACGAUUCUCUAUGUUAAAAAUUCGUAUUCUCAGAUUCUUUCUGG